Molecule: ribosomal RNA, 490 nt
Filed under: uncultured bacterium
Lineage: Bacteria
Description: partial 16S ribosomal RNA
Rfam family: Bacterial small subunit ribosomal RNA
Source: RNAcentral
GAUGAACGCUCGCUACAGGCUUAACACAUGCAAGUCGAGGGGCAGCGGGAUUGAAGCUUGCUUCAAUUGCCGGCGACCGGCGCACGGGUGAGUAACGCGUAUCCAACCUUCCGUACACUCAGGGAUAGCCUUUCGAAAGAAAGAUUAAUACCUGAUGGUAUGAUGAGAUUGCAUGAUAUCAUCAUUAACGAUUUAUCGGUGUACGAUGGGGAUGCGUUCCAUUAGGUAGUAGGCGGGGUAACGGCCCACCUAGCCAACGAUGGAUAGGGGUUCUGAGAGGAAGGUCCCCCACAUUGGAACUGAGACACGCUCCAAACUCCUACGGGAGGCAGCAGUGAGGAAUAUUGGUCAAUGGACGAGAGUCUGAACCAGCCAAGUAGCGUGAAGGAUGAAGGUCCUACGGAUUGUAAACUUCUUUUAUAAGGGAAUAAACCCUCCCACGUGUGGGAGCUUGUAUGUACCUUAUGAAUAAGCAUCGGCUAACUCCGUG